UGUCGCUCCGCCCAAAAGUGUCGCCCCGCCCCAUCGUCCAGACUGCACUCUGGGGUACUACGAGGCAGCCGCUCCUUCAGCCCAUCAUUCAGGUUGCCUCGGAAGAAGACCACGAGAGAGUAAUUUGGAAAGUCAGAGACGUUUGCCAGAGCCAGGAAGUCGUGAAUGUGGUCUUCAAUAGGUCGGUCCCCUUGCUUCAGGCUGAGCAGAUCGUAAUUUGCCUGAAAAACUGCUGGAUCCAUUGUGGUCGAUCGUUCUGUUACGUUUGAGCAAUGAGGCAGACGAGGAGGUACGGAUCCAAACGCAGUUCAAACUUUAUUAAAUGAACAGCACAGGAAAAACACAAAGGAACAGCCCACGAUGGGGAAAGGAAACAUAAAAGUAUAAACUAAACACGAGAUGACCAAAGAGGGCAUUCGAGGGAGAAUCACACACCAGGUUGACAUCAAACAACGAUCGACAAAGACAGCACAAAGACACGGGGUAUAAAUAGACAAACGUGGGAAAGGUGGCCAAUGAAAGAACAGAACUCAAACAAGGUGCAUAUUUAAGAUCAGUCCUGACAAGGGCUCCAAAGUUGAGCGCCUGGAAAAAAAGAAGAGGAAUGCAGUGAACCCGAAAGUCCUGACCCUUAUCACUCGCAUUUCGGAGUUUGAGUGGAGUUCUUAAUGAGUUACACAGACGAAAUAACGAGUAGAAUGAACAUGCGUCUAGAAUGACGAAAACAAACAUACAAAAAAAAACAACGGAGUAUGAAGUAAUCGUUGGUUAUUCGCUGCAUCGUCACUGAAAAAUGACAUUGUUGUGGAGAAUGCUGCUUACGGAAACGGAAAGCCACUUACAUACUAUGCAUGUAAACAUGAACACUUCGUGUCUUAAAGGGGUAGUUCACCCAAAAACUAAACUUGUCAUUACUCUCCCUCGUGUCGUUCAUGUUUGUUCAUCUUCAGAACACAAAUGAAGAUAUUUUUAACUCUUUCCCUGCCAGCGUUUCAAAAAAUAAGUUGCCAGGAUUUUUGAUGAUAUUUUGGUUUACGGAUAUAUGAACAUUUUAUAUAUCAAAAUAAAGAUCUGAGCCUCUGCUUUAAAAAAAAAAAAACACAGAAAAAACCUGUUUUAUUUUAUCUUAAUUUGUUCUUAUUUGAUCACCACUUGAACAUAGGUAGGUUUUGUCAAAAAUACAACAUUCUGUACAAAAAGCUUAGAAAAAUGCAUUUUGAACUACAUUCUCCAAACUCCUUCCCGUUUGUGCUUAUCACGUCUAUGUUCGCAGAUGCUUGUUUCUCUGAUCUGGAAGUCUCGUACUCAGAACAUGCGCAAGGGCUUUCCCUACCGAAUGCCUCCUGAAACACGGAAAAGUCUGUGUUUGGCGUGGAAAGAGUUAAUGAUCCUCCUUUGACAUCCUAAGUAACUGAAACUUUCAAGACCCAGAAAUGUAUAAAUACAUCAUUAAAGUUGAUCAUGUGACUCCAGUGGUUCAAUCUUCAUUUUAUGAAGCCACGGGAAAAAACUUAAUUCAAUAAUUUCUUUACUUCAGCGUGUAUCUUCAUUUGUGUUCUGAAGAUGAACAAAGGUCUUACGGAUUUGGAACGACAUGAGGGAGAGUAAUUAAUGGCAGAAGUUGGGUGAACUAUGCUUUUAAGCAGCUUUCUCUCAUCAAACAUUUUACUGGUGUCAGUGUAAAUGAGGUAUGAUAUUUGAUCACUGCAGAAGUUAUUACUCCACCACCUGCGUGAUGUCAUUAAUGACAGUUUUAUGUUGUUGAACCUACAUGGGUUGAACGAUAGAUGUGCCACAGUUGCUAUUGUUAUUGGAAAUAGUUGUGACAGACAUUACUUAUUUCAGUAAGUUUGAACCUAGUCUUAUAAGGCAGAUGUUUUAGCUUGUACAUAUUGCUAAUCUUUCUAAUAAACCGUCUGUACUUCUCAUCUCCUGUACUAGAUGCCGUUUUUUUUCUCACAAGUUGUUAUGUUCUUUACAGACCCAAGGAGGAUUAUGUGCAUGGGUUGAACUGUUGGCCUGUGGCCGGCAGCGGCAGAUUUUCCAGAGAAAAUCUCUGGAAUCUCAAGUGCACAGACUUAUAAAAAGUCCACUGGCACUAUUCUACAUCCUCUUCUUGUCGUUUAAAACACAUCUAUUCUUUUCUUAUCUCUUCCUCACUAACAGGUUGUAAUGUAAAAAUUCCAAGGUCUUAAUCGUUAUAGAAUUCUACACUACAUGUUAGCACAGUAAACGAGAUGAUCUGUUCAAAAAUGUCCUUCACUUUUGAU
Molecule: long non-coding RNA, 2270 nt
Organism: Xyrauchen texanus (razorback sucker)
Lineage: Eukaryota; Metazoa; Chordata; Actinopteri; Cypriniformes; Catostomidae
Exons: 3
Source: RefSeq, a predicted model, not a curated record